This 548-nucleotide ribosomal RNA is filed under the name Pectobacterium odoriferum. Its description in RNAcentral is "bacterial LSU rRNA". It matches the Rfam family "Bacterial large subunit ribosomal RNA", at positions 2238 to 2785 of the family's 2925-position model. The record is from RNAcentral. Lineage: Bacteria; Pseudomonadati; Pseudomonadota; Gammaproteobacteria; Enterobacterales; Pectobacteriaceae.
AUCCGGGUUGCGGACAGUGUCUGGUGGGUAGUUUGACUGGGGCGGUCUCCUCCCAAAGCGUAACGGAGGAGCACGAAGGUUAGCUAAUCCUGGUCGGACAUCAGGAGGUUAGUGCAAAGGCAUAAGCUAGCUUGACUGCGAGAGUGACAGCUCGAGCAGGUGCGAAAGCAGGUCUUAGUGAUCCGGUGGUUCUGAAUGGAAGGGCCAUCGCUCAACGGAUAAAAGGUACUCCGGGGAUAACAGGCUGAUACCGCCCAAGAGUUCAUAUCGACGGCGGUGUUUGGCACCUCGAUGUCGGCUCAUCACAUCCUGGGGCUGAAGUAGGUCCCAAGGGUAUGGCUGUUCGCCAUUUAAAGUGGUACGCGAGCUGGGUUUAGAACGUCGUGAGACAGUUCGGUCCCUAUCUGCCGUGGGCGUUGGAAGAUUGAGAGGGGUUGCUCCUAGUACGAGAGGACCGGAGUGAACGCACCACUGGUGUACGGGUUGUGAUGCCAAUUGCAUUGCCCGGUAGCUAAGUGCGGAAGAGAUAACCGCUGAAAGCAUCUAAG